GACGUAGGAGGCGAGCGUUAUCCGGAUUCACUGGGCGUAAAGCGCAAGUAGGCGGUUGUGUAAGUCCGUUGUUAAAGCCCCUGGCUCAACUGGGGGAGGUCAAUGGAGACUUUAUGACUUGAGGGCAACAGAGGCAUGUGGAACUCCCGGUGUAGCGGUGGAAUGCGUAGAGAUCCGGAGGAACACCAGCGGCGAAGGCGGCGUCCUGGACUGGUACUGACGCUCAGGAGCGAAAGCGUGGGGAGCGAUCCGG
RNAcentral lists this ribosomal RNA (253 nucleotides) under uncultured bacterium. RNAcentral's name for it is "partial 16S ribosomal RNA". It matches the Rfam family "Bacterial small subunit ribosomal RNA", at positions 524 to 776 of the family's 1533-position model. The record is from RNAcentral.